AAUGAUCGAGUGAGCACCUGACUACCGCGCCUGAGUGCGCGAAGUUACUAUUAACAGAGCACCAAACGAGUAUAAAACAAGUGGUUGGAAUCUUCGGCAGCCGCGUCACUAGAGAUUUUCAGUGCCAAACAAUGGAAACUAAGCCAAGUGUACUCCAAACAGAUAAGUCUUGUUAACAGAAAAAAGGAACUUGAUGAUUCCAUUUCCAUGGAGCUAACAAAAAAACAAAACCAUAUUUCCCACUUGCAAAAGCUAAAGAGAAAAAAAAAGCAAACCGCCCAGUCCUUAUCCGUGAUAAUAAAUAGGAAUCAAUCUAAAGCUUCUUUUUUUUUUUCUACUUUUCUUCUCAUCCUUCCUUUUCCUUUUCGAUACUCUUUAGUUAUAUAUUCGUUACAUUAUAGUUAAAUGUCAGUCAGGAAUUUCAUCAUCGAAUAGAAGAGAUGUGCUACUCAGGGAUUCCUUACAAAAGAGAACGAUAUGUUCAUAUACAGGCAAAUACUGCAGAAUCAACUGGAAGCAGAGGAGUAGUUGCUGGUAGUGCUGUAAUGGCGAAGCAGUGUAUUUGUUCACCAACAAUCCAUCCAGGAUCGUUUAGGUGCAGGCAUCAUCAUGCUGAUUAUAAAUGGGUUGUUCCACUAGGAAAUAAGCAGAAUCACUUUGUUAUACAAGAUGUGCUACUCAAAAGUUCGUUAUUGGGAUGGUAACCUUGACAAAAGAGAACAUCGAGGACGAUAUCUUUCUCUGGUAAGCAUAAGAGGAGCUGAUGGUGCUGGUGCUGGAACGAGGAAGUUUCAAUGUGUUUGUUCCCCCACAAUCCAUCCAGGUUCAUUUAGAUGCAGACAUCAUCAUGCUGAUUAUAAAUGGGUUGCUCGACUCAGACACAAAGCCUAAUUACUUAGGCUACUUCUGUCGCCAAGGUUCUAUCACGAUUUCGCUGUACAAAUUCAAAUUAUCCUUGUAAUUUUUUUCAUUAAGAUGUGGAUUGAACUUUUUUAAAAAUUAAUCAGACACUCUCUUAACUUUUUGUAAUUUAUUUCUUGAAUUGAAGAUAUCUAAAAAUAAACUCUUUAAAGCCUGUCA
Molecule: long non-coding RNA, 1080 nt
Organism: Solanum lycopersicum (tomato)
Lineage: Eukaryota; Viridiplantae; Streptophyta; Magnoliopsida; Solanales; Solanaceae
Source: RefSeq, a predicted model, not a curated record